Long non-coding RNA from Carassius auratus (goldfish), 457 nucleotides. RefSeq lists it as uncharacterized. The transcript is spliced from 5 exons. The record is from RefSeq and is a predicted model, not a curated record. NCBI's taxonomy places the organism in Eukaryota, Metazoa, Chordata, Actinopteri, Cypriniformes, Cyprinidae.
AGGUGAAGCUCUUUUCACCAAAAUCGUCAUUUUUAUAGUAGUUUACGUUUCAGUUCUUACGCGUCGUGCUUGGGAAUCAGUUGUAAAUUAUGCCAAGUCUGACAAAAUCGUGGUGCUGGCUGUGUAUGGCGUCAUGAUUCUGUUUAUUGUCAUCGGCAUCAUUUACCUAUUGUCUAAAAAGAAGAAGAUGUCAUGUCAUGGAGCGAUAUGUAAUUGGAUAUGGGAUCAAUUAGCAAUUGCAUCUGGAUUCAUCUUUUUAAUUCUUCCUUCAUUGCAAUUUGCUGUUGUGUACUUUGCUUUUGGAGCUGCCAGAGGAGGGUAUUAUGUGUCGAUAGCUGUCCCAGUUUUUUAUUUUCUCUCAUUUUCCUGUUUGUUUAAACUACGGGGAGGGAAAAGCUGUUUAGAAUUACUCAAUAAAACAGCAUGGAUAAUCUACAUGUUUAUCAUGAAUACAGUA